UACCCUCAAACCAUCAUUAUCUGGUCAUUGCGGAAGUCAUAGUGCAACCAACAGCUUAAUCAUCCGCGCAAUAAAUUAAAAUACAAAACAUUACAUAUAAAUAUUUAGUAAAUAUACUUCUGAAUCUAUUGAAGUAUGGAAAAAGACUGCGGAUUAUGGGCGCAUAGAGGAUCUGCACUGCGUAAAAGAGGGCUUUUUUCGGAUAUUAUUAUUCGAGUUGAAAACUCCGCCUUCCAAUGCCACAAAAUAGUUUUGGCCUCGGCAUCCGAGUUUUUUGAAAUAUUAUUACAGAAAGAGGGUUUAAAUACGGGGGAAGUGAUAUUGCAGGAUGCAACACCACAAGUUUUUGAAAUAUUUCUUGAUUUCAUAUACACAAAAGAUAAAUGUCCAUUGAAGCAAACCAAACCAUACUUAUUGCUGUCUCUUUUAAAGUGUGCAAAUAUGUGGCUGGCAUGCGAAGUUCAGCAAGUAUGUGAAUCAAUUUUCUUAGAAAGUCGUAUGGAACCAAAGCAAUGGAUUCAACUUUAUGCCGUAUCAUUUCUUCUGGACAAUAAAUCGUUAAUGUCGCACGCCGUUGGGAUAUUACAACGCCAUAACCAUUUCGACUGUCCGGAAUUUAUGGAAUUGGAAAUGGACUGCUUUGUAGAGUAUUUUUCGUGUACGAAAGGUUUGGAUCAAUUGAAGCGCUUUACUAUGUUAGAUAUGUGGAUACAAAAAAAUAUUCCAAAAGAACAUAGGGUUUUACACAUGAAUAAUGGGAAAAUUGUGCAAAAACGUAAUCCAAGUUCAACCACAUCGGAUCACGAUAAGAUUACUGUUCUUUUGGAUAGCAUUGACUUUGAGAGAAUGUCUUUGGAUGAUUUUUAUACAGGCCCUGCAAAGUCAAAUCUUUUGACGGAAUCUGCCAAAAUUGAAUUAAUGUAUAAAAUGGCCAAAAAAAGAGGCCCCGCUCAAUUGCAUAUAUCGAGAUGCAAUGGGUUCCAAUCGAGAUGCAAUGGGUUCCAACAUUCUUAAAAUUAAAAGCUAGCUUUCUUUCUGAUUUCUCUUUAAAAAAAAACAAUAAAAGAGAUUAUUUUGCCCGAAGAAAAUUAU
Molecule: long non-coding RNA, 1092 nt
Organism: Drosophila suzukii
Lineage: Eukaryota; Metazoa; Arthropoda; Insecta; Diptera; Drosophilidae
Source: RefSeq, a predicted model, not a curated record